CUCCGUGCCCACUGACGACUGUUCGUUACUCUUCAUGGUCUCCGUGAUACAGAUGAAGAAACAGGCUCAGAGAGUUUGCAGUAUUUUCUCAGAUUCUCAUGGCUGACAUCUCAAUUUGGGUUUCCCCCAGAGCAGAUGAACAAGGAUUUAAUUGCAGGCUUGCUUGUUCCUUUAGGUCUUUACUGCAUCAUUCCAGAGAGACCUUCUGUGCCAUACGCUACAGUUCCACCCCCUCUUAUGCCGCUUAGCACUCACCAUUGCCCAACAUAGGAGCUGUUUUAUGUCUUCCUCUUGAUUCUCACUGUUUCCUGCUUUGGAGCAUAAGCUGGACAGAGAAUACCAUCGGAGCUCCUCUGGAACAUGUCCUUGUCUUCUCAGAGUGUGAAGUGUGUGUGUGACAGUGCUUUUCUGAGGACUCAGGUGACCUGGAGGCUGGAGAACAGCAUGGAGCAAGGAAAACAAAGACGAUGUGCUGGAGUGUAUGUUGCUUUCAUAAUUAUGUGAAAGAAAAUGUAGAGAAAUUUGAAAGGAGAACUGGUUAUCAGUAGUGCCAUCCUGCUCAAAUAUCUUCAAAUACACACCACCAUCCAUGUGUGGGUUGAUUAAGGAGCUGACGUUCAUUAGAUCUGCAGUCUCCUGACCUGAUGUGCAUCAGAAUCACUGGGAGAACAAACAAACAAAAAUGAAUCCAAAACAAGCAACGAACAGACAGAUUCUCAAGUCUUGCCAAGUCCAAAGAUUGAUUUGGUGGAGAAAUUGUACUUUGAAAGCUGCCCAGUGACCUUGAUCCUGGGAAAGCAGGUGCCAUGGACGGAGAGGGAGGCCAGAAUAUAAGUCACCAGGAAAAAGUGCCACUGCUGCAAACUCUCCCAACACGCCCAACCUCAUCACCGGGUUAUGAGGAGAGUGAAUCUCAGAUGAAAAUCCACCACCCCAUGCUGUGUCCAGCCAUGCUGGAGCCUGAGCAAAAGGAAGAAUGUGUGCCUCUGUGUACCUUUAUUAAUAGUUAAUAUUUAUAUUAUUAUAUCAUUAGUAUAGAAUAUCUUUUUUUUUUUUUUUUGAGAUGGAGUCUUGCUCUGUUGCCCAGGCUGGAGUGCAGUGGCAUGAUCUUGGUUCACUGCAGCCUCCGCCUCCCGGGUUCAAGCGAUUCUCCUGCCUCAGCCUCCUGAGUAGCUGGGAUUACAGGCACCCACCAUGAUGCCCGGCUAAUUUUUGUAUUUUUAAUAAAGAUGGGGUUUCACCAUGUUGGUCAGGCUGGUCUUGAACUCCUGACUGCAGGUGAUCCACUUGCCUCGGCCUCCCAAAGUGCUGGGAUUACAGGUGUGAGCCACUGUGCCCAGCCUCAUAUAUUAUCUUUUAUAUUUACUAUACAUUAUAAAUAUGUAUUAUAUAACUGAUUAUAAAAAAU
Molecule: long non-coding RNA, 1408 nt
Filed under: Homo sapiens (human)
Lineage: Eukaryota; Metazoa; Chordata; Mammalia; Primates; Hominidae
Description: HSALNT0372826
Source: RNAcentral